CCUACGGGAGGCUGCAGUCGAGAAUCAUUCACAAUGGGGGAAACCCUGAUGGUGCGACGCCGCGUGGGGGAAUGAAGGUCUUCGGAUUGUAAACCCCUGUCAUGUGGGAGCAAAUUAAAAAGAUAGUACCACAAGAGGAAGAGACGGCUAACUCUGUGCCAGCAGCCGCGGUAAUACAGAGUUCUCAAGCGUUGUUCGGAAUCACUGGGCGUAAGGCGGGCGUAGGCUGUUGCGUAAGUCGUGUGUGAAAGGCGCGGGCUCAACCCGCGGACGGCACAUGAUACUGCGAGACUAGAGUAAUGGAGGGGGAACCGGAAUUCUCGGUGUAGCAGUGAAAUGCGUAGAUAGCGAGAGGAACACUCGUGGCGAAGGCGGGUUCCUGGACAUUAACUGACGCUGAGGCACGAAGGCCAGGGGAGCGAAAGGGAUUAGAUACCCGAGUAGUC
Molecule: ribosomal RNA, 446 nt
Filed under: uncultured bacterium
Lineage: Bacteria
Description: partial 16S ribosomal RNA
Rfam family: Bacterial small subunit ribosomal RNA
Source: RNAcentral